GCUAUAGCCAAGCGGUAAGGCACAAGACUUUGACUCUUGCAUUCGAUGGUUCAAAUCCAUCUAGC
Molecule: transfer RNA, 65 nt
Filed under: bovine gut metagenome
Rfam family: tRNA
About the family: Transfer RNA (tRNA) molecules are approximately 80 nucleotides in length. Their secondary structure includes four short double-helical elements and three loops (D, anti-codon, and T loops). Further hydrogen bonds mediate the characteristic L-shaped molecular structure. tRNAs have two regions of fundamental functional importance: the anti-codon, which is responsible for specific mRNA codon recognition, and the 3' end, to which the tRNAs corresponding amino acid is attached (by aminoacyl-tRNA synthetases). tRNAs cope with the degeneracy of the genetic code in two manners: having more than one tRNA (with a specific anti-codon) for a particular amino acid; and 'wobble' base-pairing, i.e. permitting non-standard base-pairing at the 3rd anti-codon position.
Source: RNAcentral